Molecule: long non-coding RNA, 1424 nt
Organism: Hypanus sabinus (Atlantic stingray)
Lineage: Eukaryota; Metazoa; Chordata; Chondrichthyes; Myliobatiformes; Dasyatidae
Exons: 5
Source: RefSeq, a predicted model, not a curated record
CCGGCCUCGGCGCCCACAAGGACGGGUGAGAUUCCCCUUCGCGCCUCGGUGCGUCUGUUUCGGGGACGUCUGUGGUGGCUGACGAAACAUGCUUUGACAGGGAGCGAGCGAGGACCAAUGACUACAACUCCCAGAAGGCCCCACUGAUGACGUUGUGGUGUUGUUUCGGGCUUUCCCACCACAGAUGUAAGGCUCAAUGGUCUAUAAUUAUCUGGACUAUCCCUACUACCCUUUUUGAACAAGGGGACAACAUUCGCCUCCCUCCAAUACUCCGGUACAAUUCCCGUGGACAAUGGGGACAUAAUGAUCUUCGCCAGAGGCUCAGCAAUCUAUUUCCUUGCCUCGGAUGCAGAACUGGGAAGCGCAGAUGGAGUUCAACACAGAUGAAGAGGUUCAUUUCUGCAGGUCAAAUUUGAACACAGAAUAUAAUAUUAAUGUGAUCUUACUCCUGACGCCAGUCCCAGGACCCAACCCAUUUACAGACCUGGAGCGGAACCGGAGCAGAUCCUCAGCCACUGGUUUUCAUCCCCAGUCGCAAACUUUCCCACCACAGAUGGAAGGCUCAAUGGUCUAUAAUUAUCGGGACUAUCCCUACUACCCUUUUUGUACAAGGGGACAACAUUUGCCUCCCUCCAGUCCUCCGGUACCAUUCCCGUGGACAAUAAGGACAUAAUGAUCCUAGCCAGAGGCUCAGCAAUCUAUCUCCUCGCCUCGGAUGCAGAACCGGAAAGUGGCAGAGGGAGUUCAACACAGCUGAAGAAGUUCAUUUCUGCAGGUCAAAUUUGAACACAGAAUAUAAUAUUAAUGGAGGAGGCAGCUUUUUUCGUGAACACAGUUCUUAAAUAUUCUCUCUCUCUUCGGCUGUCACUCAGAAUCCAGCUCCAGCCUCUUAAAGUGACACUCGGAGUUAAGGAAACAGGAGCUGGUAACAGGUGUGUCGGUUGCUUUGGGGUGCACACUGGCUGGAGGGUAGAAGGUGGGUUUUUCGGUGAGCACAGAUUUGUGGGUGCACACCGAUUUUCAGAUAUGUGAAGAGUGGGUGUGUUGGCGGAUUCGGGGGUGCACACUGACUGGAGGGUUGAAUGUGUUUUUUUUCGGUGAGCACAGAUUUGUGGGUGCACACCGAUUUGCAGAUAUGUGAAUAGUGGGUGUGUUGACCGAUUCGGGGGUGAACACUGACUGGAGGGUUGAAUGUGGGGUUUUUUCGGUGAGCACAGAUUUGUGGGUGCACACCGAUUUGCAGAUAUGUGCAUAGUGGGUGUGUUGGCGGAUUCGCGGUGAACACUGACUUGGGGGAACCGGUGGAUUUCGAGGUGUUACAAAUCUCAUGGUUUUUCCCUUUAUACGGACUUCAAUAAUAAAUGCAAUAUGAAAUUUGACCUCUGUUUUUGAUUUUUUUUUAAUGGAGACAGCCAUUCCGUGAA